Molecule: transfer RNA, 144 nt
Filed under: Anopheles minimus
Lineage: Eukaryota; Metazoa; Arthropoda; Insecta; Diptera; Culicidae
Description: tRNA tRNA-Tyr
Rfam family: tRNA
About the family: Transfer RNA (tRNA) molecules are approximately 80 nucleotides in length. Their secondary structure includes four short double-helical elements and three loops (D, anti-codon, and T loops).
Source: RNAcentral
CCUUCGAUAGCUCAGUUGGUAGAGCGGUGGACUGUAGAAAAGUUGCGAAAGAAAAUCAGCUUGCAAUGUGUGCAUUUGUUGUUGAUCACUUUCAAACAAUAGAGAGAAAUCCAUAGGUCACUGGUUCAAAUCCGGUUCGAAGGA